UCCCAGGUGGCAUAGUGGUAAAGAAUCUGCCUGCCAAGCAGGAGAGGCAGGAGAAACAGGUUCGAUCCCUGGUUUGGGAA
RNAcentral lists this transfer RNA (80 nucleotides) under Ovis aries (sheep). It matches the Rfam family "tRNA". Rfam says of the family: Transfer RNA (tRNA) molecules are approximately 80 nucleotides in length. Lineage: Eukaryota; Metazoa; Chordata; Mammalia; Artiodactyla; Bovidae. The record is from Rfam by way of RNAcentral.